Molecule: long non-coding RNA, 709 nt
Organism: Macadamia integrifolia
Lineage: Eukaryota; Viridiplantae; Streptophyta; Magnoliopsida; Proteales; Proteaceae
Exons: 2
Source: RefSeq, a predicted model, not a curated record
ACAACAAGGAUCAUAAGAGUGAUGGCCGACAAAAAUUAAUGAAGAGUGUCCAUGGAAAGCUACUGUUAAUCUUCUACUACCCUUCCUCGAAUUUUCACCUACAAGCAUAGAAAGCUUUAAUGCGAUUCCAUUCAUCAGCUUUUCGAUAAGAUUUUUAGAUUUUAACAAUCAUUAAAGAUUUAGGUGAUGACGACGACCUUCUAGCCAUUGAGGAGUUCCUUUGCUUGGAUCGAAGCGAGGUUCAAAACCUUGGUGGCAGUGAAGGUAUUACAGGAGGAAGUGAAGGCAAGGAAGUCGAGGGAGAAGAUGAGUAGGAAGACGAUGGUGGCCCACUGUUAGGUAGCAUGCCAGUCCUUGGUGGUGGAGAGAACGGAAGUGGUGCAACGGCGGUGGUGGACGAGGGAGUUCACAACGUAGGGUAGGAGCUGCAGCGACGAAAGGACGAAAUUGUCCAAUUUGUAGGGGUAAGCCGGUAAGAUAUAGCAUGCACCUGUUUUGGGUAAUUUUGUAACAUCAGAACUAUGGGCCAUGAUGUGUUCUUCUUCCUUCUCUAUUAAAUUGGAAGGGGCGGCCUUUGAAUAUUUUCGACCAUCUCGGGGUCUUCGACAAGGAUGUCUGUUGAUAUCCUUUCUUUUUUUUUUGGCUAUGGAGUUAACUUUUUCGCCUAUUGUCUGUUUACAGAGAGCUUAAUCUUUUUCAUGAUGUAAAA